GGAAUUUUGCGCAAUGGGCGAAAGCCUGACGCAGCAACGCCGCGUGUGUGAUGAAGGUCUUCGGAUUGUAAAGCACUUUCGACCGGGACGACAACCCCUUGGCUAACACCCAAGGGCUUGACGGUACCGGGAGAAGAAGCACCGGCUAACUCUGUGCCACCAGCGGCGGUAAUACAGAGGGUGCAAGCGUUGUUCGGAAUUAUUGGGCGUAAAGCGCGUGUAGGCGGCUUUGCAAGUCGGGUGUGAAAGCCCUCAGCUCAACUGAGGAAGUGCGCCCGAAACUGCAGAGCUUGAGUGCCGGAGAGGGUGGCGGAAUUCCCCAAGUAGAGGUGAAAUUCGUAGAUAUGGGGAGGAACACCGGUGGCGAAGGCGGCCACCUGGACGGUGACUGACGCUGAGACGCGAAAGCGUGGGGAGCAAA
This 421-nucleotide ribosomal RNA is filed under the name uncultured bacterium. Its description in RNAcentral is "bacterial SSU rRNA". It matches the Rfam family "Bacterial small subunit ribosomal RNA", at positions 358 to 772 of the family's 1533-position model. The record is from RNAcentral.